Molecule: ribosomal RNA, 468 nt
Filed under: uncultured bacterium
Lineage: Bacteria
Description: partial 16S ribosomal RNA
Rfam family: Bacterial small subunit ribosomal RNA
Source: RNAcentral
GACGAACGCUGGCGGCGUGCUUAACACAUGCAAGUCGAACGGAAAGCCCCUGCUAUUGUGGUUUGCUCGAGUGGCGAACGGGUAAGUAACACGUGAGUAACCUGCCCUGGACUUCGGCAUAACUUCAGGACACCUGAUAUAAUACCGGAUAGGAGCUCCUGCUGCAAGGCCGCGGGUGGAAAGUCUCGGCUGUUGGUGAUGGACUCGCGGCUUAUCAGCUUGUUGGUGGGGUAGUCGCUUACUAAGGCUUUGACGGGUAGCCGGCCUGCGAGGGUGACCAGCCACAUUGGGACUGAGGUGAGGCCGAGACUCCUACGGGAGGCAGCAGUGGUGAAUAAUGCACAAUGGUCGGAAGCAUGAUGCAGCAACGCCGCGUGCGGGAUGACGGACGUCGGGUUGUAGACCGCUUUCGCCUGUGACGAAGCGUGAGUGACGGUAAUGGGUAAAGAAGCACCGGCUAACUACGUG